GAUGAACGCUGGCGGCGUGCCUAAUACAUGCAAGUCGAGCGAACAGACAAUGAGCUUGCUCCCUUGACGUUAGCGGCUGACGGGCGAGUAAGACGUGGAUCACCUUCUUAUAUGUCUGGGAUAACUUCGGGAAACCGGUGAUACUACUGCCUCAUAUAUUGAACCGCAUGGAUCAAUAGUGAAUGACGGUUUUGCUGUCACUAUUAGAUGGUUCCGCGCCGCAUUAGCUAGUUGGUAAGGUAACGGCUUACCAAGGCUACGAUGCGUAGCUGACCUGAGAGGGUGAUCAGCCACACUGGAACUGAGACACGGUCCAGACUCCUACGGGAGGCAGCAGUAGGGAAUCUUCCACAAUGGGCGAAAGCCUGACGGAGCAACGCCGCGUGAGUGAUGAAGGUCUUCGGAUCGUAAAGCUCUGUUAUUAGGGAAGAACAGAAGUGUAAGUAACUAUGCACGUCUUGACGGUACCUAAUCAGAAAGCCACGGCUAACUACGUG
RNAcentral lists this ribosomal RNA (497 nucleotides) under uncultured bacterium. RNAcentral describes it as "partial 16S ribosomal RNA". It matches the Rfam family "Bacterial small subunit ribosomal RNA", at positions 28 to 507 of the family's 1533-position model. The record is from RNAcentral.